Molecule: long non-coding RNA, 450 nt
Filed under: Zostera marina
Lineage: Eukaryota; Viridiplantae; Streptophyta; Magnoliopsida; Alismatales; Zosteraceae
Description: long non-coding RNA (ZMAR_LNC002172)
Source: RNAcentral
CAAUCCGGCUCGACCAAGGAGAAACAUGCAAUCCACGCGUGAUACUGAUUUUGAAUACACUUAAGAAAGAAUUGAUUGAAUUAGUUGUUAAUAAAACAGAAUGAAAUACCCAAUUCAGUUGUAAAUCGUAGUUUAAAUAGCGUGAAGAAUGAAUAAGAAAGAUAACAAAUUACUGGAACUCAUUGUGAAUCUCCUCUCUGGAUCCUCCGGGAUAAAUUCUUCCUUCCUCCGGCCCCAUCGGGGAUUCUUCUUGGUUACUCUGGCAGUGGUUCUCGCCCAUUGCCGACGACCAGCUUCUUCUUCUUCUCAGAACUCGACCUCCAACUCCUACGCCGGUGCCGUAUACUGUCAACGCCGGACGCCACUGUUACAGGUUCUUAGAAUUUUGAUUUUACUUCAAUUGCUCACGGUCCUCAGUAUCAUAGGAAAUUUCGUGAAAGUCGAUUAUUC